AACGAACGCUGGCGGCAUGCCUAACACAUGCAAAUCGAACGAGACCUUCGGGUCUAGUGGCGCACGGGUGCGUAACGCGUGGGAACCUGCCCUUAGGUUCGGAAUAACUCCCCGAAAGGGGUGCUAAUACCGGAUAAUGUCUUCGGACCAAAGAUUUAUCGCCUUUGGAUGGGCCCGCGUUGGAUUAGCUAGUUGGUAGGGUAAAAGCCUACCAAGGCGACGAUCCAUAGCUGGUCUGAGAGGAUGAUCAGCCACACUGGGACUGAGACACGGCCCAGACUCCUACGGGAGGCAGCAGUGGGGAAUAUUGGACAAUGGGCGAAAGCCUGAUCCAGCAAUGCCGCGUGAGUGAUGAAGGCCUUAGGGUUGUAAAGCUCUUUUACCCGGGAUGAUAAUGGCAGUACCGGGAGAAUAAGCUCCGGCUAACUCCGUG
Molecule: ribosomal RNA, 433 nt
Filed under: uncultured bacterium
Lineage: Bacteria
Description: partial 16S ribosomal RNA
Rfam family: Bacterial small subunit ribosomal RNA
Source: RNAcentral